GAGACUGCCAGGGAUCAACCUGGAGGAAGGGUGGGGAUGACGUCAAAUCAUCAUGCCCCUUAUGAACCUGGGCUACACACGUGCAUACAAUGGCCUAGUACAAAGGGAAGCCAAACCCUGCGAGAGCGCGAGCCAAAUCCCCAGAAAAUACGUCUCAGUUCGGACUUGUAGUCUGCAACUCGACUACAUGAAGCUGGAAUCGCUAGUAUUCGCGGAUCAG
RNAcentral lists this ribosomal RNA (220 nucleotides) under uncultured bacterium. RNAcentral's name for it is "partial 16S ribosomal RNA". It matches the Rfam family "Bacterial small subunit ribosomal RNA", at positions 1145 to 1352 of the family's 1533-position model. The record is from RNAcentral.